GCUUCCCCCAAACCCAGUACCCAUUGACGACCUAUUUCCUUCAUCCAGCAUUACCUCUUCUGGAUAGCGUGUGAGCAGACAAAGAUCAUCUGGCAAGAAGCACCCUAAAAGUGUAUCUACACAAGUACCAACCAGGCUGCAAAAUUACAUCUGAGGAAGGACUGGGGACAUACCAAGAGCCUAGGACAACUCUGCCAACUUCACCUCCCUUUCAGACUUCCUCUACCCCUUAUUCCAUGAUUGACCAGCAUUUGGGGCUCCCCAGUACCACAUACAUGGCAAGCUUCAUCCUCUAGCAUUUUUAAAGGGGUCCAUAUUAUGACUGGGUGCUUUGUGCCUGAUUCCAUGGUCACAAAGAAUCACGUUACAGCACCCUUGAACCAUACGAUAGAAUGUUUAUGACCAAGCCACAGCUCAAAAUAGUUGGGUACAUAGAUGUGUCUCUGGUUUCCAUUUACAUCCUUUUCCAGAAUCAAGGCUUCAAAACUGCUGGCAGGUGCCUCCUUUGCUUUCCACACUUCCUCUCUCAUUGCAUAUAGCACUGGGAGGGAGGCACAGUGGUUAAGAAUCCACCUGCCAAUGCAGGGAACACGAGUUCGAUCCCUGCUUUGGGAAGAUCCCACAUGCCGCAGAGCAUCUAAGCCCAUGCACCAUGACUACUGAGCCUGCGCUCUAGAGCCCGCGAGCCACAACUACUGAAGCUCGCGCGCCUAGACCCCGUGCUCUGUAACAAGAGAAGCCACCGCAGUGAGAAGCCCGCUCACCACAACGAAGAGUAGCCCCUGCUCACCGCAACUAGAGAAAGCCCGUGCGCAGCAAUGAAGACCCAACGCAGCCAAAAAUAAAUAAAUUAAUAUUUUAAAAAAUUAA
Molecule: long non-coding RNA, 870 nt
Organism: Lagenorhynchus albirostris (white-beaked dolphin)
Lineage: Eukaryota; Metazoa; Chordata; Mammalia; Artiodactyla; Delphinidae
Exons: 3
Source: RefSeq, a predicted model, not a curated record